AAGUCGUAACAAGGUUUCCGUAGGUGAACCUGCGGAAGGAUCAUUAAAUAAUUUGAGUAUGCUUAUGCAUAUUUCUAAUUUACUGUGAACUGUUUUACUGUUUAGCGUUUUGAGGGAUUGCCUAAAGAUUAUAGGGAUAGGUCUUUAGGAUGUUAACCUAGCUAAAGUCAGGCUUAGGCCUGGUAUCCUAAUUCAUUAUUUACCAAAAGAAUUCAGAAUUAAUAUUGUAACAUAAGCGUAAAAAACUUAUAAAACAACUUUUAACAACGGAUCUCUUGGUUCUC
This 284-nucleotide unclassified non-coding RNA is filed under the name Mucor irregularis. RNAcentral's name for it is "partial internal transcribed spacer region". The stretch from base 1 to 46 matches the Rfam family "Eukaryotic small subunit ribosomal RNA", at positions 1786 to 1831 of the family's 1831-position model. RNAcentral also lists the same sequence under 1 other name. The record is from RNAcentral. Lineage: Eukaryota; Fungi; Mucoromycota; Mucoromycetes; Mucorales; Mucoraceae.